UUACCGGUCAAAGAUUCAUUGUUUUAUUUGGAUUUUGUUGUAUUUACACAACUUCUUUUGUGAAAAACUCAAUUACAUGAAGCAAAUAAGCACACACUAUCCACAACUUCCAAUCCUCACAAGUUUUCUAUAUUUCUUUGUUUAUAUUAUAAGCUACCCCACACAAAAGCAAAAAAUCUAAUAAAAUUGCUUUUGCAAAUGAAGAAAAACAUGCAUACAUUGUAUACUACUAACAAUAACAA
RNAcentral lists this long non-coding RNA (242 nucleotides) under Solanum tuberosum (potato). RNAcentral describes it as "long non-coding RNA (STUB_LNC011747)". Lineage: Eukaryota; Viridiplantae; Streptophyta; Magnoliopsida; Solanales; Solanaceae. The record is from RNAcentral.